AACUCACUGGCUGAAUAUAUUAGCCCUGAAAAUGGAUGGUACUUAAGUGUAUUACCUAUACCUCUCUAUAGCUGUUUACUAGAAGCAGCUACAAGUAGGCAGGCAUAGAGGUAUAUAACAAAGCCUUAGGGAUGACCCUAGGUUAAACCACCUCUAGUAUAGAUCUUGGUGAUAGUAGCAAAUACUCAAAUAAGAACUUUGAGGACUAAAGUAGGGAAAGGUUCUAUAUAAACAACAGUUGGAUAUAGGUAAGUUAAUCCUAAGCUAUAGGGAAGAUCCAUUAGAAAGUGUGUACUCAUAUACUGUAUAGCAAAAGGGAAGCUAGUUAAUAUUCUAGCACCUAGAUACAGUGUCUUCACAGCAACAUAACUGAAAGCAGAGAUAUCAGUGGGGGCCCUGGGAAGAGUUAUCUUUUCUUCUUAACAGUCUAUUAUCCUGAAAUCAGUUUAUCUGGAGCUAGGGUUUAAUAACUGGUAGAGCACAUCACCUCUGAUAUAUCUAGUGUACUCCUGAUGACCCUUGAAAAUCCACUAGAAGGAAUAAGAUUUAUACUAGGUUAUACUCAUAACUGCAGUAGGUCUCCAAGGUAAAAAGCCUCUAGUUGAUAGAACAAUAUAGAUAAGGGAAGUCAGCAAAAUAGAUCUAUAACUUCAGGAAAAGGAUUGGCUCUAAGGAUUAGGUGUGUUAGGCCUUGGAAAGAUCCUGCUGGAGUAGGGAGUCACUAGCUAGGUAACCAGUCAGUGGUACCCAGCACUGGUGUAGUAAUGUCCUUGGUAGGCUUUGGUUAUCCAGUACAUAAUUAAUAGUUAACUUAGAACUAGUAUAGAUAAGGAGAAUCUGACUAUCUAAUUAAAAUAUAGUAUUGCGAUAGCUAGAAAGUGGUGUUAACACAAUGUAAUUUCUGCCCAGUACUCUGAAUAUCAAAGUAAAGAAAUUCAACUAAGUGUGGGUAAAUGAUAGGAGUAACUAUGACUCUCUUAAGGUAGCCAAAUGCCUUGUUAUCUAAUUAGUGACAUACAUGAAUAGAUUAAUGAGAUUCUUACUGUCCCUAUCUACUAUCUAGUGAAACUAUAGCCAAGGGAAUAGGCUUAGUAGAAUCAGUGGGGAAAGAAGACCCUGUUGAGCUUGACUCUAGUUUGAUAUUAUAAAAAGAUAUAGGGGGUGUAGAAUAGGUUAGAGAGUAAUCACCAGUGAAAUACCACUACCCUUAUUAUUUUUUUACUUAUUCAAUGAAGCAGAACUAGGUUUUACCACCUAAUUUCUAGUGUUAAGGUUGUUUACUAGUUAAUCUAGAUUAAAGAUAUUGUUAGAUAGGGAGUUUAGCUGGGGCAGUAUAUCUAUUAAACCAUAAUAUAGGUGUCCUAAGGAGGACUUAUGGAGAACAGAAAUCUCCAGUAGAAUAAAAGGGUAAAAGUCCCCUUGAUUUUGAUUUUCAGUGUGAAUAUAAACCAUGAAAGUAUGGCCUAUCAAUCCUUUAGUCCCUUGAAAUUUAAGGCUAGAGAUACCAGAAAAGUUACUACAGGGAUUAACUGAGUGUACUUACUUGGUUA
This is a ribosomal RNA of 1550 nucleotides. It matches the Rfam family "Eukaryotic large subunit ribosomal RNA", at positions 1287 to 2854 of the family's 3401-position model.